CCCUUAGAUGUCCUGGGCCGCACGCGCGUUACACUGAUGCAUUCAACGAGCAUAUAACCUUGGCCGAGAGGCCUGGGUAAUCUUGUUAACAUGCAUCGUGAUAGGGAUAGAUUAUUGCAAUUAUUAAUCUUGAACGAGGAAUUCCUAGUAAUCGCAGUUCAUCAAACUGCAAUGAUUACGUCCCUGCCCUUUGUACACACCGCCCGUCGCACCUACCGAUUGAAUGGUCCGGUGAGGACUCGGGAUUGUGGUUUAGCUCCUUCAUUGGGGCCUGACUGCGAGAACUUGUCCGAACCUUAUCAUUUAGAGGAAGGUGAANUCGUAACA
RNAcentral lists this ribosomal RNA (327 nucleotides) under uncultured eukaryote. Its description in RNAcentral is "partial 18S ribosomal RNA". It matches the Rfam family "Eukaryotic small subunit ribosomal RNA", at positions 1470 to 1796 of the family's 1831-position model. The record is from RNAcentral.